UACGGAGGGUGCGAGCGUUGUCCGGAAUCACUGGGCGUAAAGCGCACGUAGGCGGCGGCGUAAGUUGGAUGUGAAAUCCCCCGGCCCAACCGGGGAACUGCGUCCAGUACUGCGUUGCUUGAGGAUCCAAGGGGUGCAUGGAAUUCCCGGUGGAGCGGUGAAAUGCGUUGAUAUCGGGAGGAACUCCGGCGGCGAAAGCGGUGCACUGGUGGAUUACUGACGCUGAGGUGCGAAAGCCAGGGGAGCAAACGGG
This 253-nucleotide ribosomal RNA is filed under the name uncultured bacterium. RNAcentral describes it as "partial 16S ribosomal RNA". It matches the Rfam family "Bacterial small subunit ribosomal RNA", at positions 524 to 776 of the family's 1533-position model. The record is from RNAcentral.